GACGAACGCUGGCGGCGUGCUUAACACAUGCAAGUCGAACGGAAAGGCCCUGCUUUUGUGGGGUGCUCGAGUGGCGAACGGGUGAGUAACACGUGAGUAACCUGCCCUUGACUUUGGGAUAACUUCAGGAAACUGGGGCUCAUACCGGAUAGGAGCUCCUGCUGCAUGGUGGGGGUUGGAAAGUUUCGGCGGUUGGGGAUGGACUCGCGGCUUAUCCGCUUGUUGGUGGGGUAGUGGCUUACCAAGGCUUUGACGGGUAGCCGGCCUGAGAGGGUGACCGGGCACAUUGGGACUGAGAUACGGACCAGACUCCUACGGGAGGCAGCAGUGGGGAAUAUUGCACAAUGGGCGGAAGCCUGAUGCAGCAACGCCGCGUGCGGGAUGACGGCCUUCGGGUUGUAAACCGCUUUCGCCUGUGACGAAGCGUGAGUGACGGUAAUGGGUAAAGAAGCACCGGCUAACUACGUG
Molecule: ribosomal RNA, 468 nt
Filed under: uncultured bacterium
Lineage: Bacteria
Description: partial 16S ribosomal RNA
Rfam family: Bacterial small subunit ribosomal RNA
Source: RNAcentral